AUUGAACGCUGGCGGCAGGCCUAACACAUGCAAGUCGAACGCGUGGCGGACGGGUGAGUAAUGUUUGGGAAUCUACCUUAUGGAGGGGGAUAACUAAGGGAAACUGUAGCUAAUACCGCGUACCAUAGGAUGUGCCCAACUGGGAUUAGGUAGUUGGUGGGGUAAAGGCUCACCAAGGCGACGAUCUCUAGCUGGUCUGAGAGGAUGACCAGCCACACUGGGACUGAGAAACGGUCCAGAGUCCUACGUGAGGCAGAAGGGGGGAAUAUUGCACAAUGGGGGAAAGCUGAUACAGCCAUGCCGCGUGAAUGAAGAAGGCCUGCGGGUUGGAAAGUACUUUCAGUGGGGAGGCGUUAACUGCAGAAGAAGCACCGGCUAACUCCGUGCCAGCAGCCGCGGGAAUAC
This 405-nucleotide ribosomal RNA is filed under the name uncultured bacterium. Its description in RNAcentral is "partial 16S ribosomal RNA". It matches the Rfam family "Bacterial small subunit ribosomal RNA", at positions 30 to 526 of the family's 1533-position model. The record is from RNAcentral.